Molecule: long non-coding RNA, 217 nt
Filed under: Macaca nemestrina (pig-tailed macaque)
Lineage: Eukaryota; Metazoa; Chordata; Mammalia; Primates; Cercopithecidae
Description: lncRNA (ENSMNEG00000045896.1)
Source: RNAcentral
GAAGCAGCUCCGGGAGGACAGGAACGUUCCAACCUCUCCUGCUACACUUGUGUCUCUGGCCGGGGCUUCCCAAAUGCAUGAUCAUUAAAGGGCAGCGCCUCACGUUCCUCCCCCCUCUAGAUCACUUCCACCUGGCCUCAGCCUCCAGCAUCAAUGCGUCUGACUCCCCUGAAGAAUGGGGUCCACUGCCCGCAGGAAGGGAGGGGGCUGGCCCACU